This is a non-coding RNA of Trichonephila inaurata madagascariensis, 82 nucleotides long. The record is from the annotation of a GenBank genome assembly. NCBI's taxonomy places the organism in Eukaryota, Metazoa, Arthropoda, Arachnida, Araneae, Nephilidae.
GGGAGGGUGGCCGAGUGGUUAAGGGUGGACUGCUAAUCCAUUGGGCUCUGCCCGCGUGGGUUCCCAAUCCCCCUCCUUUUCG